AUCUUUACUCACUGGUUUCUCUGGUUUAGAAUUGCGGCUUUGUGCUGUGGAUUUCUUUGAAGAGGGAUAUUUCGAUAUUUUCCUUGUUUUGUAGGGAAAAGACAGACUGUAGGAAUCUCGCUGUUCCUUUCUGGCGUGAAUCUUGUAGCAGAUUUUUUCGCCUGGAUGGUGUUGCUGAAAGUGCUUCGUCAUCAAAUACUUCCUGGAACCUGGUAGUUCAUAACUGCAGGAAUUGCACCUUAUAACAUCUCCAUGAACAUCCUGCUAACCAAUAUCUGUUGGCUGCCAGUCUGGUGGGGACUCAAAAAAACAUUGGAUCAGGUACAAGGCCAGGAACAGGAUCAGCAUUUAUUUAUUUAAAAAGUCUUUGUAGUGCCUCAGCAAAGGUGGAACCUGGUACAAUAAUGUCAUCCAUGUACAGUAAACAUUCUUCCCACUGCAACCUCCGUUAUACAUCUUCCAAGAGGCGACUAAGAGUGCUUGGACUGUUGCAUAGACCAAACGGCAUGACCUUGAAAUGAAAUAGACCAAGGCUUGUGGAAAAAGCAGUCUUCUCCUUGUGUUCCUCUGCCAUAACGAAUUGCCAAAAGCCAGAAUUUAGAUCCAUAGAACUAAACCAUUUUGAAUUGGAUAAGGAAUCUAGACAAUCAUCCACUCGGGGUAAGGGAUAGGCAUCCUUAAUUGUAAUUUCGUUUAAUUUUCUGUAGUCCACGCAAAAACGAGUCGAACCAUCCUUUUUGGGAGCAAGUACAAUUGCACUGGACCAAGCACUCCUAGAAGGCUCCAUGAUGCCAUUAUCAAGCAUUUUCUUUACUUCUUCCUGUUCAGUUUUCUUUUUACCUAUUGGUAACCUGCGGGGUUGUGUUCUAAUUGGAGGGGCAUUACCGGUUUCAAUUCUGUGCACCACUCUAUCUGUA
Long non-coding RNA from Saccostrea cuccullata (small rock oyster), 917 nucleotides. RefSeq lists it as uncharacterized. Lineage: Eukaryota; Metazoa; Mollusca; Bivalvia; Ostreida; Ostreidae. The transcript has 3 exons. The record is from RefSeq and is a predicted model, not a curated record.